This 433-nucleotide ribosomal RNA is filed under the name uncultured bacterium. Its description in RNAcentral is "partial 16S ribosomal RNA". It matches the Rfam family "Bacterial small subunit ribosomal RNA", at positions 29 to 507 of the family's 1533-position model. The record is from RNAcentral.
AACGAACGCUGGCGGCAUGCCUAACACAUGCAAGUCGAACGAGACCUUCGGGUCUAGUGGCGCACGGGUGCGUAACGCGUGGGAACCUGCCCUUAGGUUCGGAAUAACUCCCCGAAAGGGGUGCUAAUACCGGAUAAUGUCCUCGGACCAAAGAUUGAUCGCCUUUGGAUGGGCCCGCGUUGGAUUAGCUAGUUGGUAGGGUAAAAGCCUACCAAGGCGACGAUCCAUAGCUGGUCUGAGAGGAUGAUCAGCCACACUGGGACUGAGACACGGCCCAGACUCCUACGGGAGGCAGCAGUGGGGAAUAUUGGACAAUGGGCGAAAGGCUGAUCCAGCAAUGCCGCGUGAGUGAUGAAGGCCUUAGGGUUGUAAAGCUCUUUUACCCGGGAUGAUAAUGACAGUACCGGGAGAAUAAGCUCCGGCUAACUCCGUG